GGAGGCGGCGGUCGGUGAGCAGGGCUAGCCCUAGCUGGAGCUAGGGGACGGAGGAGGGAGGUUGCGGUGUGGUCUUGUGUGCGUAGUGGGCGUGGGUCGGGGACUAGGGGUCGAGAGAGGGAAGCAACAGGAGGACCGCGGCGGUGAGCGUCCCUCUCUCUCCUCGUCUCGGGAGAACGGCGUGGAAGGAUACGAAGAGGAUGACACCUCGAGACGGAACGGCCGCUGGGGAGGUUAGUGGAACGACGGCAAGGGGCGCGAGCAAGCGGAGGAGGGAGUUGGUGCGGCCGGUAGCCUCGGCAACGGCCGCCGGCGGGGCAGCUGGGCUGGUCAGGAGCGCAGAGGCCGAAGCAGAGGCUGGGAUCUGCGGUCUAGUUUGGCCGGGCACAGGUCGUGGUGGUGGUGGUACGUGGCGCGCGGUCGUUGGAGGACGGAGCGUCGGGCUGGAGGACAGGCUGCGGCGACAAGGGCGCCAUUACUGGAGGGGAAGCCGGAGACAACGGCGUGGAGACGCCAAGCGCCAACGGUAGAAGGAGCUCAGGCUCGAGCUCGGGACGGGCUGCGAAGGUACCUGUCGGUGGAGCGGACGUAGGAGAGUAGCCGGCGGAGGAGACGAGGUCGGUGCCCGUAGAGAACGGGCUCUGCUGCGGAGACAAAACGGAUGUCGUCUGGGCGUAGAGGACGUGGAACCGGCACCAACGGCGACGGAUCUGGUGGAAGUCGGCCCACGGGGCGGAGGACGAAGCCGGUUUCGAGGAAGCGGAGGAACGACGUCGGUGAGCUCCGGGACCACAACGAAGCAAAAGCUAGCAGUUCUGGCUGAUGUGGACGACUACAAAGUUCAUGGAACCUUGCAGAUGCGGAAGCACCUAAAGCGGUUCAAGUGGCCUACGGAUCAUGCUGAUGUUCUGGCCUUGCGGUUGAUGCACCUAUGCGGUUCAAGACGAAGCUUGUACAUACCGACGUGCUGCUGGGCGGUUCUGGGACUUGUUGAUGGCGGCGGCGGCACAUGGUGAUGGCAGCGUUCUUCGAACUGGCCGCUCAGGUUUCUGGGGUUCAUGGUGCUGUGGCUGCUGAACUUGUAGAUGCCUUUGCACAUGUUGAUGAAGGUGAUGCUGGGUGCUCAUGGUGAUGGCAGUGGUUCUAGCGCUCAUGGAGAUGGCAGCGGUACCUGGCUAUCAUGGUGAUGAAGGUGAUGGCAGCGCUCUUGCUGAUGAAGGUGAUACUGGGCACAUGGCGAUGAAGGAGAUGUGGCGAGGCUUGAGCUUGACGAGACUUUUACGUGUGAAGUUUCCUAAAGGCCGUUCUACUGGUAAUGGGAGCUAUAGUGAAGAUAGAAACGAACGAUCAACGAGGCAAGAUAACAAUACGACGCGAUGGAUAGUGAACAAAUGGUACGGAGGGUAUAACGGUACAGUCGGAGAUUGGAAAAGUGGGAAGGAUUGUUUGACAACGAACCGAUACAAUGGCGAAACGAGUCGGAAAGAAUAUCGCAACAAUCAACGUCCACUUCAACUUCUAACGAGGUACUACCUAUCCUAAUACAACCCUAUAGUGUUAUAGAGCAUAAAUUAAUUACGUAGAUAUAUGAACCAUUUCCCACCUUCUGAGCCGGAAUACGGACCACAAAACAAGGUGAGAACGGCGGGAUCAAAGACAGUAUGGCCACUAUACAAGAGCCUAAGACACAAGGAAUGCGCCAACCCACUAAAUACCCUGGGGGAACUGUCAAGCGAAACUUAUUUUGAGGAGGUCGUUCCGGGUUGGAACCAAAAUUGUAAACGGUGGAUUCGGAAAAAGGGAACCCAAGACGUCUGAGUUCCCAGUAGAAAUAAAAUUGGGGGCCCGGUUACGAGGAAGCUCACAACCAGGCUUGGCCCGUCUGACACCCCGGUGGUGCCCCGUUGAGCUCCCGACCAAAAUGAGUAUCCGACUGGAUAGGCAACACGGGACUCUUGCUCUAUACACGUCGAGGAUAGCCCUAAACAGUCGUGUAACCCGCAGAAACGACCAGAACAAAAUGGUAACAGUUUUACAGAACAUUUGGCCCUAAGGCUCAGACUAGCCCAGAAGGAUCCUCUUCCUUAUAGGAAGCAACUGGCACUCUCUAAUACUACCCGAUUCAACCCUGUGGGGACGUCCCAUAUUUGAAAGCUCUCGGCACGGGCGCCAAUACACCGUCUACCCUUAAACAAUUACAGGCCAACAUCUCUUGAACUGUGAACUGAAUUAAUUUUACGUAGUUGGUACACACAUCGGCACUACCAGAGAAAAGCCGCCUCAGGCCCUUCACUUGUGCCAAAACCCAAUACAAACUGCAUUCAUCCUCAAGUCCUAGUGAAGAACUAGUGAAGAUCGAAGAACUGGCAAGGCAACGAAGAGAAGAGCGAGAAUAAACACAUACAAUCGGUGGUAUAAACGAAUCAGCGACGACGUUGGAGUGGUGAAAUGGGGAAGGAAAGGGUAUUCGAAUUUAUCAGAACUAGGGCACCCAAAACUCUAACGACUCAGGAGCACUGAGUGGGCUAUGAUAGUGUUGUCAACGUCCACGGCUACUAUGGUCACGUCUACUACGUUGGCUCGAAUCUACCCUCGAGUUGCUUCUAGAGCCAGCAACGAUACAAAGCAAAGUACAACUAGUCAUCACCUCGGGUCAACCCUGCUAGCCCCUAGAUCGUCAAUCCAAUAGAAGAAAAGAAAACCGAAGCAGGCAUCAGCCUGAUACACACAUAAGACUUACUACAUACUAAAUAUACAAGUAACACACUUCACCGCUAACAUUCGGUUGAGAAAUAGGGU
RNAcentral lists this ribosomal RNA (2799 nucleotides) under Triticum aestivum (bread wheat). RNAcentral describes it as "partial small subunit ribosomal RNA". The record is from RNAcentral. Lineage: Eukaryota; Viridiplantae; Streptophyta; Magnoliopsida; Poales; Poaceae.